RNAcentral lists this non-coding RNA (92 nucleotides) under uncultured Eubacterium sp. RNAcentral describes it as "TPP riboswitch (THI element)". It matches the Rfam family "TPP riboswitch aptamer (THI element)", at positions 7 to 92 of the family's 105-position model. From Rfam's summary of the family: Vitamin B(1) in its active form thiamin pyrophosphate (TPP) is an essential coenzyme that is synthesised by coupling of pyrimidine and thiazole moieties in bacteria. The previously detected thiamin-regulatory element, thi box was extended, resulting in a new, highly conserved RNA secondary structure, the THI element, which is widely distributed in eubacteria and also occurs in some archaea. Lineage: Bacteria; Bacillati; Bacillota; Clostridia; Eubacteriales; Eubacteriaceae. The record is from RNAcentral.
AAAAUGGGGAGCUGAACGUGAAUCGGCUGAGAACAGACUGUUCUGUCUGGACCCGUAACCUGAUUUGGAUAAUGCCAACGUAGGGAUAUUUA